GACGAACGCUGGCGGCGUGCUUAACACAUGCAAGUCGAACGGAAAGGCCCUGCUUUUGUGGGGUGCUCGAGUGGCGAACGGGCGAGUAACACGUGAGUAACCUGCCCUUGACUUUGGGAUAACUUCAGGAAACUGGGGCUAAUACCGGAUAGGAGCUCCUGCUGCAUGGUGGGGGUCGGAAAGUUUCGGCGGUUGGGGAUGGACUCGCGGCUUAUCAGCUUGUUGGUGGGGUAGUGGCUUACCAAGGCUUUGACGGGUAGCCGGCCUGAGAGGGUGACCGGCCACAUUGGGACUGAGAUACGGCCCAGACUCCUACGGGAGGCAGCAGUGGGGAAUAUUGCACAAUGGGCGGAAGCCUGAUGCAGCAACGCCGCGUGCGGGAUGACGGCCUUCGGGUUGUAAACCGCUUUCGCCUGUGACGAAGCGUGAGUGACGGUAAUGGGUAAAGAAGCACCGGCUAACUACGUG
RNAcentral lists this ribosomal RNA (468 nucleotides) under uncultured bacterium. RNAcentral's name for it is "partial 16S ribosomal RNA". It matches the Rfam family "Bacterial small subunit ribosomal RNA", at positions 28 to 507 of the family's 1533-position model. The record is from RNAcentral.